GGAGAGGGAACCGAGGACAUCACUUUGCUCAGUGGAUGUUUUUGUUGGGGAAUGAGUGCGUGUGUUUGCAGUGUAAACGUUUUUCAUGGAAAGAGUACGAUAGCGAGAAAUGCCAUUGAAUGUUUUAUUGGGAAUCUAUAUAUAUAUACCAAGAUAAGUCAUGUUAGUGCACCCUUUGCAUUAAGAACUUGUACAACAUGAUGAGUUCUGGUUAAACAAGACGCGACUUUGUAGUCAGCUAAGGACUUUCAUUGCCCCUCCAGGGUUCGACUCAUGCCACCACGUUCACAUCCUUGCUUGCAAGGUCCUGCUGAGUGGACGGUAUUGAUGCCUUUUCAGUCUAGCUCCAGUCUUGUGUCAUUAUGUUAUAAGCACCACGCCACCCCACUCCCGGGUUCAUAACACCCUCACCCUCUCACAUUCUGUGGUGGCUAAUUUCUGCAUUACCAAAUGAGGAGAUUUACAAACUUCACACACCAGUCAGAGUUAUACUUAAUACUACAUCUUUAAUAAUUAAGAUGCUUUUGCAAAAGCACUUGACUUUCAAUGAUGCGCUAUCUCUAAUGAACCAUUGAAAAGUGACUACACAAAAGUACAAAGAGCUUUUAUAGCCAAGAUGCACCCCUUCAACGUACAUGACGAACCACAGAUCUUAGGAACAGUUCACAAAGGUUAAGUUUUGUAUGAAAGAUAUCUAUAAAACAUAGCAGACAGCAACUGCUGUAUCAAGUGUUCAUUGUAUAGACCAGUGUCUGGUCCUCCUACCCCAAACUGGAACAGUCUCUCCCUGGUACGGUAUAGAACAGAACCAUUAGCUCAUCCAAUGGCAUAAAUCAAUUGACAACUCUAGAUACUCCCAUCUCAAGUAAACCCCCUCUUGACUCCACUCCUGGACAAGCUCACUGAGGGGAGUGAGCCUCUAGGUCAUAUACUAUCCCAGGAUAAGUGCAACAUCAGAUGGGACAUACAAGGGUCCAGACGCUGCCGUACACCUUCCCCCAAUGCCAAAGGAGGGAGUGACUUGCGCACAGACAUUGUGGAGACAAGUAAUUGGUUCCCCAUUAAUCACGCCAACCCUUCACGUGGUUUAACAGAUACUUGUCAUAUGUGAAUGUAUCUCACAUAAGCAUAUUAUGCAAAUAAAACAUAUUAAUUAUCUAUGUUACCCAACUAAUUCUGAUUCAUCCGCCACAAUUCUACCAUUUGUCUACACUCCAAGAACAAUGAGAGCCCUCUAGCUGUAGACACCCACAGAUUCAUGACAACUGAGAUUCCCAUAUCCAUAGCCUUCUUAGCUUGUAGGUCUAAGUGUUUUUGUCCUUACUAUGUUGAAAUAUCAAAGACUAAGCUUUUUGUGUGACUCAAGUAAGUCAUUUCAAGUGUCAGCCUUGUUUUCCCUGGCACAUAAAGGUAUCCUACUAACUAGUUCUGUUUAUUUUGACUUUAUAACAUAAAAAUCUUGUUGGGAGCUGAAAAACACAGCUGUAUGUUAAUAAAGCAAUACUACAGCUCAGUGCAAUGGUAAAUGUUAAGUCAGAUGUGGGAUAAAGACAGUAGAGGGGGAAUGCUGUUGUAGUGACAGUCAUCACUAUUUUCAGGACUUUUUUUUUAGGGUCACAGCUAGAGGUCGACCGAUUAAUCGGAAUGGCCGGUUAAUCAGGGCCGAUUUCAAGUUUUCAUAACAAUCGGUAAUCGGUAUUUUUGGCCACCCGAUUUGCCGAAUUUUAUUUUCAUUUAUUUUUUAUUUUUAUUUUUUUAAAUGUAUUAUUAUAUUUCUAUUUUUAUGUAUUUUUUUAACAUUUUUUUUGUUAAUUUUUUUUUUUCUAUAAAUAUUUUUUAACUAGGAAAGUCAGUUAAGAACACAUUCUUAUUUUCAAUGAUGGCCUAGGAACGGUGGGUUAACUGCCUUGUUCAGGGGCAGAACGACACAUUUUUAUCUUGUCAGCUUGGGGAUUCAAUCUUGCAACCUUACGGUUAACUAGUCCAAUGCUCAAACCACCUGCUGCACUCCACGAGGAGCCUGCCUGUUACGCGAAUGCAGUAAGAAGCCAAGAAAACAUACAACAAAAUUACUGAGUUAGCACAUUAGAAACAGAGCCUGUCAUGAAACUUGCAAAUAAAGAUGAGAAUAGUUCAAAAUGAGAAGAUCAUGCCAUGGAAAAGACGACUGAGUGAACAUAAAGUGGAAAGGAGGAGAAAUAACUCACACCAUGCAGCAGGACACCUUCAGCUGUGGGGACUUGGUAAUGCAGGUUUGAUAGUUAUAUUUUCAAUAAUGAAUGGUUAGCAGUUAUGUGACAAUUAGGUCAAACUCUAUUUUAUUUUGUUGGUGUAGAUGGCCAAGGAAGUUGCACAGAACUUCCCCAACAUCCCCUCCAAAAUUGUUAAAGAACCUUAACAAUGAGCAACUGCGAAAAGAAAUGGCUGAGGAUAUACUAAAAAUGUCUGGUAUGUUAUGACAUUUAAUUGAAAAAUUCAUGUAAAAACGUGUGAGAUGAAAAUGGACAAACCAAA
This 2514-nucleotide long non-coding RNA is filed under the name Salmo salar (Atlantic salmon). Its description in RNAcentral is "lncRNA (ENSSSAG00000087407.1, ENSSSAG00000114063.1)". Lineage: Eukaryota; Metazoa; Chordata; Actinopteri; Salmoniformes; Salmonidae. The record is from RNAcentral.